CCUACGGGAGGCAGCAGUGGGGAAUUUUGGACAAUGGGCGCAAGCCUGAUCCAGCCAUGCCGCGUGUGUGAAGAAGGCCUUCGGGUUGUAAAGCACUUUCGGCCGGAACGAAAUCGCGCGAGUUAACACCUCGCGUGGAUGACGGUACCGGAAGAAGAAGCACCGGCUAACUACGUGCCAGCAGCCGCGGUAAUACGUAGGGUGCGAGCGUUAAUCGGAAUUACUGGGCGUAAAGUGUGCGCAGGCGGCGCCGCAAGUCGAGUGUGAAAGCCCCGGGCUUAACUUGGGAAUUGCGCUCGAAACUAUGGUGCUGGAGUGUGGCAGAGGAAGGUGGAAUUCCACGUGUAGCGGUGAAAUGCGUAGAGAUGUGGAGGAACACCGAUGGCGAAGGCAGCCUUCUGGGCCAACACUGACGCUCAUGCACGAAAGCGUGGGGAGCAAACAGGAUUAGAUACCCUGGUAGUCCACGCCCUAAACGAUGAUGACUAGUUGUUGGAGGAGUUAAAUCCUUUAGUAACGCAGCUAACGCGUGAAGUCAUCCGCCUGGGGAGUACGGUCGCAAGAUUAAAACUCAAAGGAAUUGACGG
Molecule: ribosomal RNA, 587 nt
Filed under: uncultured bacterium
Lineage: Bacteria
Description: bacterial SSU rRNA
Rfam family: Bacterial small subunit ribosomal RNA
Source: RNAcentral